AACGAACGCUGGCGGCAUGCUUAACACAUGCAAGUCGAACGAGGCAAUCGGGUUUAGUGGCGCAUGGGUGUGUAACGCGUGGGAACCUGCCCUUGGGUUCGGAAUAUCUCCCUGAAAGGGGUGCUCAUACCGGAUAAUGUCUUCGGACCUAAGAUUGAUUGUCUUUGGUUGGGCGUGCGUUUGAUUAGCUAGUUGGUAGUGUAAUAGCCUAUCAAGGUGACUAUCCAUAGCUGGUCUGUUAGGAUGACCAGCCACGCUGGGACUGAGACACGGCCCAGACUGCUACGGGAAGCAGCAGUAGAUAAUACUAGACAAGGGGCGCAAGUCUGGUCCAGCAAUGCCGCGGGAGUGAUGAAGGCCUUAGGGUUGUAAAGCUCUUUUACCCGGGAUGAUAAUGACAGUACCGGGAGAAUAAGCUCCGGCUAACUCCGUG
RNAcentral lists this ribosomal RNA (433 nucleotides) under uncultured bacterium. Its description in RNAcentral is "partial 16S ribosomal RNA". It matches the Rfam family "Bacterial small subunit ribosomal RNA", at positions 29 to 507 of the family's 1533-position model. The record is from RNAcentral.